AGUACGAACGCAAGUUUGAAACUCAAAGGAAUUGACGGGGGCCCGCUCAAGCGGUGGAUUAUGUGGUUUAAUUCGAUGAUACGCGAGGAACCUUACCAAGGCUUAAAUGGGAAUUGAUCGGUUUAGAAAUAGACCUUCCUUCGGGCAAUUUUCAAGGUGCUGCAUGGUUGUCGUCAGCUCGUGCCGUGAGGUGUUAGGUUAAGUCCUGCAACGAGCGCAACCCCUGUCACUAGUUGCCAUCAUUCAGUUGGGGACUCUAGUGAGACUGCCUACGCAAGUAGAGAGGAAGGUGGGGAUGACGCCAAAUCAUCACGGCCCUUACGCCUUGGGCCACACACGUAAUACAAUGGCCGGUACAGAGGGCAGCUACACAGCGAUGUGAUGCAAAUCUCGAAAGCCGGUCUCAGUUCGGAUUGGAGUCUGCAACUCGACUCUAUGAAGCUGGAAUCGCUAGUAAUCGCGCAUCAGCCAUGGCGCGGUGAAUACGUUCCCGGGCCUUGUACACACCGCCCGUCAAGCCAUGGAAGUCUGGGGUACCUGAAGUCGGUGACCGUAAAAGGAGCUGCCUAGGGUAAAACAGGUAACUAGGGCUAAGUCGUAAC
RNAcentral lists this ribosomal RNA (602 nucleotides) under uncultured bacterium. RNAcentral describes it as "bacterial SSU rRNA". It matches the Rfam family "Bacterial small subunit ribosomal RNA", at positions 879 to 1492 of the family's 1533-position model. The record is from RNAcentral.